AACGAACGCUGGCGGCAUGCCUAACACAUGCAAGUCGAACGAGACCUUCGGGUCUAGUGGCGCACGGGUGCGUAACGCGUGGGAAUCUGCCCUUGGGUUCGGAAUAACAGUUGGAAACGACUGCUAAUACCGGAUGAUGACGUAAGUCCAAAGAUUUAUCGCCCAAGGAUGAGCCCGCGUAGGAUUAGCUAGUUGGUGAGGUAAAGGCUCACCAAGGCGACGAUCCUUAGCUGGUCUGAGAGGAUGAUCAGCCACACUGGGACUGAGACACGGCCCAGAGUCCUACGGGAGGCAGCAGUGGGGAAUAUUGGACAAUGGGCGAAAGCCUGAUCCAGCAAUGCCGCGUGAGUGAUGAAGGCCUUAGGGUUGUAAAGCUCUUUUACCCGGGAUGAUAAUGACAGUACCGGGAGAAUAAGCUCCGGCUAACUCCGUG
RNAcentral lists this ribosomal RNA (433 nucleotides) under uncultured bacterium. RNAcentral describes it as "partial 16S ribosomal RNA". It matches the Rfam family "Bacterial small subunit ribosomal RNA", at positions 29 to 507 of the family's 1533-position model. The record is from RNAcentral.